AAGGAGUCUAACAUCUAUGCGAGUGUUCGGGUGUCAAACCCCUACGCGUAAUGAAAGUGAACGGAGGUGGGAGCUUCGGCGCACCAUCGACCGAUCCUGAUGUCCUCGGAUGGAUUUGAGUAAGAGCAUAGCUGUUGGGACCCGAAAGAUGGUGAACUAUGCCUUAAUAGGGUGAAGCCAGAGGAAACUCUGGUGGAGGCUCGCAGCGGUUCUGACGUGCAAAUCGAUCGUCAAAUUUGGGUUUAGGGGCGAAAGACUAAUCGAACCAUCUAGUAGCUGGUUCCUGC
This 287-nucleotide unclassified non-coding RNA is filed under the name uncultured fungus. Its description in RNAcentral is "partial contains 5.8S rRNA, ITS2 and 28S rRNA". It matches the Rfam family "Eukaryotic large subunit ribosomal RNA", at positions 668 to 961 of the family's 3401-position model. The record is from RNAcentral. Lineage: Eukaryota; Fungi.